GCAAGUCGAACGCGAACGUUUCUUCGGAAACAAGUAGAGUGGCGGACGGGUGAGUAACGCGUAGGAAUCUACCUAAAUGUGGGGGAUAACAUGGUGAAAAUCAUGCUAAUACCGCAUAUGUCCCACGGGAUAAAGAGGGCCUCUUCUUGAAAGCUCUUGCAUUUAGAUGAGCCUGCGUCGGAUUAGCUAGUUGGUGGGGUAAAGGCUCACCAAGGCGACGAUCCGUAGCUGGUCUGAGAGGAUGAUC
This 247-nucleotide ribosomal RNA is filed under the name uncultured bacterium. Its description in RNAcentral is "partial 16S ribosomal RNA". It matches the Rfam family "Bacterial small subunit ribosomal RNA", at positions 57 to 305 of the family's 1533-position model. The record is from RNAcentral.